AGUGAACGCUGGCGGUAGGCCUAACACAUGCAAGUCGAACGGCAGCACAGUAAGAGCUUGCUCUUACGGGUGGCGAGUGGCGGACGGGUGAGGCAUACAUCGGAAUCUACUUUUUCGUGGGGGAUAACGUAGAGACACUUACGCUAAUACCGCAUACUACCUACGGGUGAAAGCAGGAGAUCUUCGCACCUUGCGCGAUUGUAUGAGCCGAUGUCGGAUUAGCUAGUUGGCGAGGUAAAGGCCCACCAAGGCGACGAUCCGUAGCUGGUCUGAGAGGAUGAUCAGCCACACUGGAACUGAGACACGGUCCAGACUCCUACGGGAGGCAGCAGUGGGGAAUAUUGGGCAAUGGGCGAAAGCCUGAUGCAGCAAUACCGCGUGAGUGAAGAAGGUCUUCGGGUUGUAAAACCCUGUUAUUGGGGAAGAAAAGAAGCAGAAGAAUAUGCGGAUAUUCUGACGGUACCUAAAGAAAAAGCAACGGCUAACUUCGUG
This 492-nucleotide ribosomal RNA is filed under the name uncultured bacterium. RNAcentral's name for it is "partial 16S ribosomal RNA". It matches the Rfam family "Bacterial small subunit ribosomal RNA", at positions 29 to 507 of the family's 1533-position model. The record is from RNAcentral.